Molecule: long non-coding RNA, 1527 nt
Filed under: Oryctolagus cuniculus (rabbit)
Lineage: Eukaryota; Metazoa; Chordata; Mammalia; Lagomorpha; Leporidae
Description: lncRNA (ENSOCUG00000039440.1)
Source: RNAcentral
AACACAGAGUGGGUUACAAUCACCAUUCUUUCAGCUCUGUAGGUCGUGGUGAUACAGGUAGGAAAAAGCCAGCUGGGUUAGGUUGAACUUGGAUGGAAAGUGAAGGCAGGCGGCUACAAGAUGGGGAGAAGGGUUUCUAAUGAACAUUGAGCCUGCAUGCUGUUAAAGCAGACUUUGCAUAAAGGCCAACUGAAAUAAGUGCAGAGAGCAAGCCUUAUACAAGCGAAGGGUUGCAUUUAACAGACAUGCAAUUGAGAAUCAAAAAAAGCCUGGAACCUAAAAAAUGUUAGGAGAGAAGAGUUUUGAGACUCUAAAUGCACAAAACACAGACACCUGGGAUUGUAAAUGAGCAGAGCUAAGUGGUGAAGCCAGGGACUGCGACCUAACAAGUCCAGGGCUACAAUAACAGGGACAGUGUUCAAGAUGGGCCCAAAACUCAUAAAGUGCUGACCCAAAGGAAUUUUGGGGAGGGAGGACACCUGGGCAGAUUCUAGCCAAAUGGGCAGAGUGAACUAAGCAAGAUGGGAUCACAGCAAGAUGACCGUUCAACAGUUUCUUUAUUCACCCUGUCCCGUGUUUUCAUACUUCAGCUGCACGAGACAGUCAACCCGGGUGACUGAGGACACCUAGGACACGUGUGCCUGAUCAUCUCCACAGUUUUGCUCAAGUGCUGUGCUGGCAGGGCUGGCUCUGCUUCUCACACGGGUCUGCCGAUCAGCCAUGGCGGCUCUGGUCACAGGCAGAGUGGACAGUGAGAGAGAAAGGUCUUCCUUUACCGUUGGUUCACCCUCCAAUGGCCGCCGCGGGCGGCGCACUGUGCUGAUCCAAAGCCAGGAGCCAGGUGCUUCUCCUGGUCUCCCAUGCGGGUGCAGGGCCCAAGAACCUGAGCCAUCCUCCACUGCACUCCUGGGCCACAUCAGAGAGCUGGCCUGGAAGAGGGGCAACUGGGACAGAAUCUGGCGCCCCAACCGGGACUAGAAUACUGGAAUACUGGGGAUACUUUAUUUAUCUUUAUUUAUAGCUAAGCAUUUAUACAUUGUCUACUACCGUGAGGAAAAAAAAUCAUAGUGAGGUACAACAAUAAUUACAAACCUCCACUAGCUUUUCCACACACUGGCACAAGUCUAGUAGAAUAAUCUGAGGAAGGUUUUCAGUUGACAAAAGCAGUCUUAUACAAUUCUUUCCUUUCCACUUCAUUAUACCACUUAUCACUUCAGCCCUACGAAUUAUUCACUUCCUAUCCCUACAUGAAACAGGAUCUAAUAAUCCAUCAGCAAUCGCUUCCAAUUCAUAUAAAAUUGCAUGUCACCCUUACAGUAGAAUGUAAUAUAUCCUAGCUCCUCUUAUUGUUUUUUUUUCCUCACCCUAGUCUUAUUUUCCCUUGACCUGCUGGGAGACCCUGACAAUAAUACCCCAGCAAACCCCCGUAUACCCUUCCCCAUACUAAACCAGAAUAGUCGAUCCACCUAUGCAAUCCUAUGAUCAAUCCCAAAUAAACUAGGCAGUGCCCUAACCCUAGUAGCCUCA